AGAGUUUGAUCCUGGCUCAGGAUGAACGCUGGCGGCGUGCCUAACACAUGCAAGUUGAACGAAGCGCUUACAACUAAAUCCUUCGGGAGGAAGAAGUAAGUGACUUAGUGGCGGACGGGUGAGUAACGCGUGGGCAACCUGCCCUGUACAGGGGGACAACAGCCGGAAACAGCUGCUAAUACCCCAUAAGCGCACAGUAACGCAUGUUACAGUGUGAAAAGCCGAGACGGUACAGGAUGGGCCCGCGUCUGAUUAGAUAGUUGGUGGGGUAGAGGCCUACCAAGUCAGCGAUCAGUAGCCGGCCUGAGAGGGUGAACGGCCACAUUGGAACUGAGACACGGUCCAGACUCCUACGGGAGGCAGCAGUGGGGAAUAUUGCACAAUGGGGGAAACCCUGAUGCAGCGACGCCGCGUGAAGGAAGAAGUAUUUCGGUAUGUAAACUUCUAUCAGCAGGGAAGAAAAAGACGGUACCUGACUAAGAAGUCCCGGCUAACUACGUG
Molecule: ribosomal RNA, 501 nt
Filed under: uncultured Lachnospiraceae bacterium
Lineage: Bacteria; Bacillati; Bacillota; Clostridia; Lachnospirales; Lachnospiraceae
Description: bacterial SSU rRNA
Rfam family: Bacterial small subunit ribosomal RNA
Source: RNAcentral